CAAUUCUUGUAGGAAUCUUCAAAGUAUAGAAAAUAUAUCUUGUAUAUGUGUGCCCAAGUAAUUAGAGGGAAAAAAAAGGGACUCCCUAUUGCUGUCCUAUUCUGUAAGUGUGUGUGUCUAUAUAUAUAUAUAUAUAUAUAUGGACUUGUUGGCCCAAACAAUUUAACUUUCUGAUUAGUGUAACAGUGAAAAUGAUCCUUUGUUCAUUGCUCUCAUUAAAUGAUCUAGAGAAGUAAAUUAAUGAUUGAUUUUGUUUUACCAAUAAUAGAAAUACUGAUUACAAAAAUAGCUAUGAUGGAUUUGUGAAUUUCUUUGGUAAUUUCUGUCAAAUAUUGAUAUAUAGUGUAUACCACUACAAGAAUGAGCAUUAUUUGUGUCCACAAAUCAAUGAUUGGCAUGAACUUGAAUUUUGAAAUAUUGGUGAUCUUAAUAUUAAAGUUUUAGAACUUGAUCCUAAAUAAAGAAUUGAUUACCAUGCAAUUCUAAAUUAAAAAUAAAUAAAUAAAUAAAUAAAUAAUAAUGUGCAAAUGGAGUUGUGUAAGUACUCUAAUUUAUCCUAUUGAAUUUGUUCAUGGUUGCUAGUCUCACUAAUUGUUAAUUACAUAAAUCCAUAUGAUUGCUCAUGAUUUUCCGUGUUUGUAUCUCUUUUAGGAUAUUUCACAUUCUAUAUUAUUUUUAAAUUAAUCCAUAUCUUUAUUGACCAAAUGUGGUAGUAUUUGGAAAUGUGUGGUUAUUGCAUUUUAACUAGCAAAAUUGCAUUAUUCCUGGAUUUUCAUAUUGUGGGAAAAUGUUAUUAUUGUGUGCAUAAUUUAUGCCUUUAGGUGGGACUUAAUAUAAUUCUUCAGAAUUUCAAACCGGGCACCUUGUAUCCCUGCAAAUCCUUUGAUGAUUUCAGGUGUCUUUGUUGGCACAUAGAAUGUUCUCAGUUCUUAAAGAUAAAAGUGUAACUUUAAGGAUGAAAGUGGUCUAAUUAGAUGAGUUAGAAGCAUUAAUUGUGGGACAUUAGUCUUGGUAGUUUGAAUUCUGUUAGUG
RNAcentral lists this long non-coding RNA (1032 nucleotides) under Olea europaea subsp. europaea. The record is from RNAcentral. Lineage: Eukaryota; Viridiplantae; Streptophyta; Magnoliopsida; Lamiales; Oleaceae.